This 235-nucleotide ribosomal RNA is filed under the name uncultured bacterium. RNAcentral describes it as "partial 16S ribosomal RNA". It matches the Rfam family "Bacterial small subunit ribosomal RNA", at positions 99 to 334 of the family's 1533-position model. The record is from RNAcentral.
CGCACGGGUGAGUAACACGUAUCCAACCUGCCGUCUACUCUUGGACAGCCUUCUGAAAGGAAGAUUAAUACAAGAUGGCAUCAUGAGUCCGCAUGUUCACAUGAUUAAAGGUAUUCCGGUAGACGAUGGGGAUGCGUUCCAUUAGAUAGUAGGCGGGGUAACGGCCCACCUAGUCUUCGAUGGAUAGGGGUUCUGAGAGGAAGGUCCCCCACAUUGGAACUGAGACACGGCCCAA